This 71-nucleotide transfer RNA is filed under the name Triticum aestivum (bread wheat). It matches the Rfam family "tRNA". Rfam says of the family: Transfer RNA (tRNA) molecules are approximately 80 nucleotides in length. Their secondary structure includes four short double-helical elements and three loops (D, anti-codon, and T loops). Further hydrogen bonds mediate the characteristic L-shaped molecular structure. tRNAs have two regions of fundamental functional importance: the anti-codon, which is responsible for specific mRNA codon recognition, and the 3' end, to which the tRNAs corresponding amino acid is attached (by aminoacyl-tRNA synthetases). tRNAs cope with the degeneracy of the genetic code in two manners: having more than one tRNA (with a specific anti-codon) for a particular amino acid; and 'wobble' base-pairing, i.e. permitting non-standard base-pairing at the 3rd anti-codon position. Lineage: Eukaryota; Viridiplantae; Streptophyta; Magnoliopsida; Poales; Poaceae. The record is from Rfam by way of RNAcentral. RNAcentral also lists the same sequence under 1 other name.
GUGAGCGUAGUGCAAUGGUAAUAUAUCUCCUUGCCAAGGAGAAGAUACGGGUUUGAUUCCCACCGCUCGCC